Molecule: non-coding RNA, 100 nt
Organism: Naganishia onofrii
Lineage: Eukaryota; Fungi; Basidiomycota; Tremellomycetes; Filobasidiales; Filobasidiaceae
Source: the annotation of a GenBank genome assembly
GCCUGCGUUGCACAGUGGUAGUGCGUAGCUUUCCUAUUGUAUCGUUGAAUCGGCACAGAUAUCGAGGCUAAGGUCGUGGGUUCGAUCCCCACCGUGGGUU